GUUGUGUCUAGCUGGGGUUAUAUUAGGUCUGAAAAACCUGGGGUCGGCAGUUCGAUUCUGCCCCUGGCCACCA
This 73-nucleotide transfer RNA is filed under the name Acidimicrobiia bacterium. Its description in RNAcentral is "tRNA-OTHER". The record is from RNAcentral. Lineage: Bacteria; Bacillati; Actinomycetota; Acidimicrobiia.